UUGACCUCGGAUCAGGUAGGAAUACCCGCUGAACUUAAGCAUAUCAAUAAGCGGAGGAAAAGAAACCAACAGGGAUUGCCCUAGUAACGGCGAGUGAAGCGGCAACAGCUCAAAUUUGAAAUCUGGCCUUUGGUCCGAGUUGUAAUUUGUAGAGGAUGCUUUUGGUGCGGUUCUUUCCGAGUUCCCUGGAACGGGACGCCUUAGAGGGUGAGAGCCCCGUACGGUUGGAUACCUAGCCUUUGUAUAGCUCCUUCGACGAGUCGAGUAGUUUGGGAAUGCUGCUCUAAAUGGGAGGUAAAUUUCUUCUAAAGCUAAAUACCGGCCAGAGACCGAUAGCGCACAAGUAGAGUGAUCGAAAGAUGAAAAGCACUUUGAAAAGAGGGUUAAACAGCACGUGAAAUUGUUGAAAGGGAAGCGCUUAUGACCAGACUUUUUCCAGGCGGAUCAUCCGGUGUUCUCACCGGUGCACUUCGCCUGGUUUAGGCCAGCAUCGGUUUUCGUAGGGGGAUAAAAGCUUUAGGAAUGUGACUCCUUCGGGAGUGUUAUAGCCUAUUGUAUAAUACCCUUGUGAGGACCGAGGUACGCGCUCUGCAAGGAUGCUGGCGUAAUGGUCAUCAGCGACCCGUCUUGAAACACGGACCAAGGAGUCGAACAUUUAUGCGAGUGUUUGGGUGUUAAACCCUCACGCGUAAUGAAAGUGAACGGAGGUGAGAGCCUUAGGGUGCAUCAUCGACCGAUCCUGAAGUCUUCGGAUGGAUUUGAGUAAGAGCAUAACUGUUCGGACCCGAAAGAUGGUGAACUAUGCGUGGAUAGGGUGAAGCCAGAGGAAACUCUGGUGGAGGCUCGCAGCGGUUCUGACGUGCAAAUCGAUCGUCAAAUCUGCGCAUGGGGGCGAAAGACUAAUCGAACCAUCUAGUAGCUGGUUACCGCCGAAGUUUCCCUCAGGAUAGCAGUGUUGUCUUCAGUUUUAUGAGGUAAAGCGAAUGAUUAGGGACUCGGGGGCGCCUUUUAGCCUUCAUCCAUUCUCAAACUUUAAAUAUGUAAGAAGCCCUUGUUACUUAAUUGAACGUGGGCAUUCGAAUGUACCAACACUAGUGGGCCAUUUUUGGUAAGCAGAACUGGCGAUGCGGGAUGAACCGAACGCGAGGUUAAGGUGCCAGAGUAGACGCUCAUCAGACACCACAAAAGGUGUUAGUACAUCUUGACAGCAGGACGGUGGCCAUGGAAGUCGGAAUCCGCUAAGGACUGUGUAACAACUCACCUGCCGAAUGUACUAGCCCUGAAAAUGGAUGGCGCUCAAGCGUCUCACCCAUACCUCGCCCUUAGGGUAGAAACGAUGCCCUAAGGAGUAGGCGGCCGUGGGGGUCAGUGACGAAGCCUAGGGCGUGAGCCCGGGUCGAACGGCCUCUAGUGCAGAUCUUGGUGGUAGUAGCAAAUACUUCAAUGAGAACUUGAAGGACCGAAGUGGGGAAAGGUUCCAUGUGAACAGCGGUUGGACGUGGGUUAGCCGAUCCUAAGCCAUAGGGAAGUUCCGUUUCAAAGUGCGCACUUGUGCGCCGUAUGGCGAAAGGGAAGCCGGUCAAUAUUCCGGCGCCUGGAUUGGGGUUUUGCGCGGCAACGCAACUGAACGUGGAGACGACGGCGGGGGCCCUGGGCAGAGUUCUCUUUUCUUCUUAACGGUUUAUCACCCUGAAAUCGGUUUGUCCGGAGCUAGGGUUUAACGGCCGGAAGAGCCCGACACCUCUGUCGGGUCUGGUGCGCCCCUGACGUCCCUUGAAAAUCCACGGGAAGGAAUAAUUCUCCAGCUAGGUCGUACUCAUAACCGCAGCAGG
This 1832-nucleotide ribosomal RNA is filed under the name Brachiampulla verticillata. RNAcentral's name for it is "partial large subunit ribosomal RNA". It matches the Rfam family "Eukaryotic large subunit ribosomal RNA", at positions 1 to 1863 of the family's 3401-position model. The record is from RNAcentral. Lineage: Eukaryota; Fungi; Ascomycota; Sordariomycetes; Xylariales.